Molecule: long non-coding RNA, 569 nt
Organism: Neopelma chrysocephalum (saffron-crested tyrant-manakin)
Lineage: Eukaryota; Metazoa; Chordata; Aves; Passeriformes; Pipridae
Exons: 3
Source: RefSeq, a predicted model, not a curated record
CUUCAAAGCAGAAGAGACUGGUCAGAGCUUGGGGGCCAUUUUUGUACAAGGUAACCAGGAAUUAGAGAGAAGUGGCUAAUUUCAAAGUGUGAUUUAAAGGACUUAGGGAUUUUGGUUAUGAUUUCAUAAAACACAGGAGAGGUCUUCCUUAAUAACACAGAUUUUUAGGAAAUGUGGGGCCACGUGUGCUGUUUCCAUCACCCCAGGGUGCUGCAGGUGUGUGGAGUGCUCAGGAUGCUUCAGAGAGGAAGGAGGGAGAGAAAAGCUUUUGGGAUGAAGUGGUUUUCGUUCAGCUAAUCAAAGCUCCUCACUCAGGGCUAGAACAAAGCAGUCAAGACCUCUCUUUUUUUUCAUCAUCAAAUGAGAGAGGUCUCUGCUGGUUGUCAUCACGUGGGAGGUUGCAGGUUGCUGUUACCCUGUUGUCAAGGUCUGAAACCCCUGAUCCCAUGCUCUGAAGCAAUGCCCUGUGCUAGGCAGUGCAGCUCCUCUGGGUGCUGGUGAAGGACAUCUGCCAGUCAACACUGACUCUUCCCAGGUCACCCUGAGCAGGAAAGUCUUCAACUUGAUUC